GAACGAUGAAGCUGAAGCUUUUGUUUUGGUGGAUUAGUGGCGAACGGGUGAGUAAUACGUGAGUAACCUGCCCUUGUCUUUGGGAUAAGCCUGGGAAACUGGGUCUAAUACCGGAUAUUCUGCUUCUGCCGCAUGGUGGGGGUUGGAAAGAUUUUUUGGAUGGGGAUGGGCUCACGGCCUAUCAGCUUGUUGGUGGGGUGAUGGCCUACCAAGGCGUCGACGGGUAGCCGGCCUGAGAGGGUGACCGGCCACAUUGGGACUGAGAUACGGCCCAGACUCCUACGGGAGGCAGCAGUGGGGAAUAUUGCACAAUGGACGCAAGUCUGAUGCAGCGACGCCCGCGUGGGGGAUGAAGGCUUUCGGGUUGUAACUCUUUCAGUACAGAACAAGGCUU
This 394-nucleotide ribosomal RNA is filed under the name Arcanobacterium sp. HJ56-2F170.1. Its description in RNAcentral is "bacterial SSU rRNA". It matches the Rfam family "Bacterial small subunit ribosomal RNA", at positions 64 to 454 of the family's 1533-position model. The record is from RNAcentral. Lineage: Bacteria; Bacillati; Actinomycetota; Actinomycetes; Actinomycetales; Actinomycetaceae.